RNAcentral lists this ribosomal RNA (492 nucleotides) under uncultured bacterium. RNAcentral describes it as "partial 16S ribosomal RNA". It matches the Rfam family "Bacterial small subunit ribosomal RNA", at positions 29 to 507 of the family's 1533-position model. The record is from RNAcentral.
AGUGAACGCUGGCGGUAGGCCUAACACAUGCAAGUCGAACGGCAGCACAGUAAGAGCUUGCUCUUACGGGUGGCGAGUGGCGGACGGGUGAGGAAUACAUCGGAAUCUACUUUUUCGUGGGGGAUAACGUAGGGAAACUUACGCUAAUACCGCAUACGACCUACGGGUGAAAGCAGGGGAUCUUCGGACCUUGCGCGAUUGAAUGAGCCGAUGUCGGAUUAGCUAGUUGGCGGGGUAAAGGCCCACCAAGGCGACGAUCCGUAGCUGGUCUGAGAGGAUGAGAAGCCACACUGGAACUGAGACACGGUCAAGACUCCUACGGGAGGCAGCAGUGGGGAAUAUUGGACAAUGGGCGCAAGCCUGAUCCAGCCAUACCGCGUGGGUGAAGAAGGCCUUCGGGUUGUAAAGCCCUUUUGUUGGGAAAGAAAAGCAGCAGGUUAAUACCCCGCUGUUCUGACGGUACCCAAAGAAUAAGCACCGGCUAACUUCGUG